UACGGAGGGUGCAAGCGUUAUCCGGAUUCACUGGGUUUAAAGGGUGCGUAGGUGGGUCUGUAAGUCAGUGGUGAAAUCUUCGAGCUUAACUCGGAAACUGCCAUUGAUACUAUAGAUCUUGAAUUUUCUGGAGGUAAGCGGAAUAUGUCAUGUAGCGGUGAAAUGCUUAGAUAUGACAUAGAACACCAAUUGCGAAAGGCAGCUUACUACGGGAACAUUGACACUGAGGCACGAAAGCGUGGGGAUCAAACAGG
Molecule: ribosomal RNA, 254 nt
Filed under: uncultured bacterium
Lineage: Bacteria
Description: partial 16S ribosomal RNA
Rfam family: Bacterial small subunit ribosomal RNA
Source: RNAcentral